CAUGCAAGUCGAGCGGACAGAUGGGAGCUUGCUCCCUGAUGUUAGCGGCGGACCGGUGAGUAACACGUGGGUAACCUGCCUGUAAGACUGGGAUAGCUCCGGAAAACCGGGGCUAAUACCGGAUGGUUGUUUGAACCGCAUGGUUCAAACAUAAAAGGUGGCUUCGGCUACCACUUACAGAUGGACCCGCGGCGCAUUAGCUAGUUGGUGAGGUAACGGCUCACCAAGGCGACGACGCGUAGCCGACCUGAGAGGGUGAUCGGCCACACUGGGACUGAGACACGGCCCAGACUCCUACGGGAGGCAGCAGUAGGGAAUCUUCCGCAAUGGACGAAAGUCUGACGGAGCAACGCCGCGUGAGUGAUGAAGGUUUUCGGAUCGUAAAGCUCUGUUGUUAGGGAAGAACAAGUACCGUUCGAAUAGGGCGGUACCUUGACGGUACCUAACCAGAAAGCCACGGCUAACUACGUGCCAGCAGCCGCGGUAAUACGUAGGUGGCAAGCGUUGUCCGGAAUUAUUGGGCGUAAAGGGCUCGCAGGCGGUUUCUUAAGUCUGAUGUGAAAGCCCCCGGCUCAACCGGGGAGGGUCAUUGGAAACUGGGGAACUUGAGUGCAGAAGAGGAGAGUGGAAUUCCACGUGUAGCGGUGAAAUGCGUAGAGAUGUGGAGGAACACCAGUGGCGAAGGCGACUCUCUGGUCUGUAACUGACGCUGAGGAGCGAAAGCGUGGGGAGCGAACAGGAUUAGAUACCCUGGUAGUCCACGCCGUAAACGAUGAGUGCUAAGUGUUAGGGGGUUUCCGCCCCUUAGUGCUGCAGCUAACGCAUAAGCCUCCGCUGGA
This 839-nucleotide ribosomal RNA is filed under the name uncultured bacterium. RNAcentral describes it as "bacterial SSU rRNA". It matches the Rfam family "Bacterial small subunit ribosomal RNA", at positions 54 to 873 of the family's 1533-position model. The record is from RNAcentral.